GCAUUAUUUACAACAGUACAAAAUUAUUUACUAAACGUGGGGAGACUCAUAAACCAACUAAAAGAAGGAUGGAGUCCUUAUUAAACUAUUGAACAAAAUAUAAAGCUCGUAUAAAGCCAUGAUAUGCUAAUAAAAACUAAAAUGAUGUAUGAACAGAAACCACAUAAUUAUUAUGUACUAUUUAUUCAUAAUAUCCACAACAACAGCAUACGAAGUGAGUUGCAGGAUUUCAAUUCCUAAUUCCCACAACAACAAUAUAUACCAUAUCUCAAUGAUCCCAAAACGUACAAUAUUUUAAUCAGAGUUAUCAUUAUCAGUUAAAACAAUAGAAACCAAUUCAAGCAUAUAAAACUAAGGAACACUAGAUCAAUAUAUAUCUACAUAAAGUCCCAAUUAGGUAAUCACUAAUUCAUCUAUUAGAACUUCAAAUUAAAACAAUAGGCUUCACUAGACAUUAAAUAUUAGAGUCAAACAAAUCAAACAUGGAUAUAAAGGAUGUGUUGUAAAUAUUUUACAGAGAGUCAGUCCACAUAUUUAAUCCAAUUUUCACAACACAAUGCAAUGAACAUAACAUUAACACUGGAAACUCAUAAUUAUCUACAUAUUAAAGCAUAUAAAAUGAAUCAACCACACUAAAGCAAACUUCAUUAAACUAAAAUAAAUCUAAGCAAACUAAUAUUAUGACUAUUUACAAAUUAUCUACAGAGUACCAGCUAAAACAUGAUAAAACAAUCACAAUCCAAUUUAAUUGAAAUUUAUAUUCCACGACUUUAACACGAUUGAACUUGAGAUCAAAAAUUUAUCGACUCCAAAUUUGAACUUGUUGAGCUCAGGCCGACUAAUGCACGAACGAAAAUCAACAUAACGCGGAAGUUAUCGUGUGUAUCUAUGAAUGAAUCUUUGUAGAGGGAGAUCGUAGGAGUUGUAG
RNAcentral lists this long non-coding RNA (928 nucleotides) under Lathyrus oleraceus (garden pea). RNAcentral's name for it is "Pisum sativum (pea) long non-coding RNA (PSAT_LNC013241)". Lineage: Eukaryota; Viridiplantae; Streptophyta; Magnoliopsida; Fabales; Fabaceae. The record is from RNAcentral.